GUGGGGAAUAUUGCACAAUGGGCGGAAGCCUGAUGCAGCAACGCCGCGUGCGGGAUGACGGCCUUCGGGUUGUAAACCGCUUUCAGCAGGGACGAAGCGCAAGUGACGGUACCUGCAGAAGAAGCACCGGCUAACUACGUGCCAGCAGCCGCGGUGAUACGUAGGGUGCGAGCGUUGUCCGGAUUUAUUGGGCGUAAAGAGCUUGUAGGCGGUUGGUUGCGUCGAAAGUGCAAACUCAGGGCUUAACUCUGAGCCUGCUUUCGAUACGGGCUGACUGGAGGAAGGUAGGGGAGAAUGGAAUUCCCGGUGGAGCGGUGGAAUGCGCAGAUAUCGGGAGGAACACCAGUGGCGAAGGCGGUUCUCUGGACCUUUCCUGACGCUGAGAAGCGAAAGCGUGGGGAGCAAACAGGCUUAGAAACCCUGGUAGUCC
This 430-nucleotide ribosomal RNA is filed under the name uncultured bacterium. RNAcentral describes it as "partial 16S ribosomal RNA". It matches the Rfam family "Bacterial small subunit ribosomal RNA", at positions 354 to 796 of the family's 1533-position model. The record is from RNAcentral.